RNAcentral lists this transfer RNA (72 nucleotides) under Bos taurus (domestic cattle). It matches the Rfam family "tRNA". From Rfam's summary of the family: Transfer RNA (tRNA) molecules are approximately 80 nucleotides in length. Lineage: Eukaryota; Metazoa; Chordata; Mammalia; Artiodactyla; Bovidae. The record is from Rfam by way of RNAcentral. RNAcentral also lists the same sequence under 4 other names.
UCCCUGGUGGCUCAGACGGUAAAGUGUCUGCUUGCAAUGUGGGAGACCCGGGUUCGAUUCCUGGGUCGGGAA